Molecule: ribosomal RNA, 619 nt
Filed under: Phlebia cf. tremellosa RG-2014
Lineage: Eukaryota; Fungi; Basidiomycota; Agaricomycetes; Polyporales; Meruliaceae
Description: eukaryotic LSU rRNA
Rfam family: 5.8S ribosomal RNA (bases 162-315)
Source: RNAcentral
AUUCCACUCUUCAACCCCUGUGCACUUGUUGUAGGUUUCAGGUCGGACGCGGGGCUUUUGACUUCAUCGUCGAGAGCCUCAAGGAAAGCCUGAGCCUAUGUUUUACCAUACACACGCUUCAGUAUAGAAUGUAAACAUCGCGUAUAACGCAUUUUAAAUACAACUUUCAGCAACGGAUCUCUUGGCUCUCGCAUCGAUGAAGAACGCAGCGAAAUGCGAUAAGUAAUGUGAAUUGCAGAAUUCAGUGAAUCAUCGAAUCUUUGAACGCACCUUGCGCUCCUUGGUAUUCCGAGGAGCAUGCCUGUUUGAGUGUCAUGGAAUUCUCAACCUUUGAAAGCUUUUAUCGGUUCUCAAAGGCUUGGACUUGGAGGUCGUGUCGGCUCUGCAAAGAAUCGACUCCUCUGAAACGUAUCAGUGCGAACCUUUACGGAUCGUCUUCGGUGUGAUAAACGUCUACGCCGUGGUCGUGAAGUAUGAUCGUGUCCGUGCUUCUAACCGUCUCCUUUGCGAGACAAAAACUGUGUUACUAUAAGUAACAUAGGCAUUGACAAUCUGACCUCAAAUCAGGUAGGACUACCCGCUGAACUUAAGCAUAUCAAUAAGCGGAGGAAAAGAAACU